AUUGAACGCUGGCGGCAGGCCUAACACAUGCAAGUCGAACGAGUGGCGGACGUGUGUGUAAUGUCUGGGAACCUGCCUGAUGGAGGGGGAUAACUACUGGAAACGGUAGCUAAUACCGCAUACCUUCGGAUGUGCCCAGAUGGGAUUAGCUAGUAGGUGGGGUAAAGGCUAACCUAGGCGACGAACCCUAGCUGGUCUGAGAGGAUGACCGGCAAACCGGGAAUUGAGACAGGGCCCAGACUCCAACGGGAGGCAGCAGUGGGAAAUAUUGAACGAUGGGCGAAAGCCGGAUGCAGCAAUGCCGGGGGUAUGAAGAAGGCCUUCGGGUUGUAAAGUACGUUCAGCGGGGAGGCGUUACCCGAAGAAGAAGCAACGGCUAACUCCGUGCCAGCCGCCGCGGUAAUUC
RNAcentral lists this ribosomal RNA (406 nucleotides) under uncultured bacterium. Its description in RNAcentral is "partial 16S ribosomal RNA". It matches the Rfam family "Bacterial small subunit ribosomal RNA", at positions 29 to 526 of the family's 1533-position model. The record is from RNAcentral.